UCUCCAGCCAAGCACUUGUGCUUUGCCGUUCAAUUUUCACAUUUGGCCAGGACCCACUCAAGGGUUUAGUGUUUAUUCACUGUGACCAAUAAAUACAGAACAUUUCAAUACAACUUUGCCUGCCAGGUUAUGUUCAGUGACUGCAAUGCCAUCACCAUCGACAACAGGAGGAACCAGCAUCUCAUUCCGCUGACGCGGCAAGAUCGCGCAGGUGUUUACCGCACAGCUGAGUACUCCUUCCCCAUAAACUAUGCAGAUAUUUUCUUCCCACAUCUAUCUGGAGACUGUAAUUUCUACAAAGCGACAAGGCAGAAAGCAUGGCCAUGGCAGGGCUGCGUGUGGAGAGGCCUCAUCCCCAACGAGCGUGUCACUAGGAACUGAACGGCAAUGGGAGCCACUCAGGAAGGGUUCGUUCUGGAGAUUUAGUGGCUCAUCCUGAUGUUGUUCUUGUGGAGUAUAAUCGGAAGUUAAAGCCUGGCCCUAAAUACACCCACCUCCUUGCUUCCCAUGAGCCCUCCUUCAACAUACGCGUGCCCCCAUCUGGUGCUCUGGGAACAGAAGAUUUAGAAUCUUGCAUUACCUUUGGUGCUACCCUACCCAUGGUCUCGUUUACACCCACCAAUGCAAUUCUGAGCAUGGAGGUUCUUGGUUUUAAAGUCAUUUCUAAGCUUAUUUUCUUGUUUCUUGUGCUUUUAGUUUGGGAGAAAUAGAAGCGAAAAAUAUCAUCCAACUAAAAACAUAUAGAAAACACUGAUCUCUUUAAGGAAAGAAGCUGAAUAUAUGUUCUCAGCCGGUGGAGGUGGGAGGUUUAUUUCUCCCGCAUGAGACUGCAAGGGAUUGGAUCUAAGAACGGGUUAUUCUACUGGUGCAAAGCUCUUGCUGAAACAAUGUUUGAGUCCUACUUUGGACAUUCUGCUGAUAGUUUCAUUUCUAAUUUAUGAAACAUUUCAUUAAUCCUCAAUCUGUCAGCUCUUCCUUGACAACAAUAGAGGCUGACAGACAAAAGAUUAAAAUUUAUUAAAUACCUUACCCUUUGGACGUGUUUGAAAUGCUCUGUCCAUUUUUGUCCCCAUUUCACCUAAUUUUAAACAAACUGCACUCUUCCCAAUUUUCUCAGAAAGCAAGUAGGCACCAUAGCAAAACAAUGUGUAAAUACCACAAUAAACCACACCAAAUCGAAACACACAGAAAAAAGAUCAAAAUACAGCAAUUCUUGAGCAGAAUUGCUGGCAUUCACAUUAAAAGCAUCUCCUAUCCCACGUAUCUCAAGCAUAUUAUUUUUUGUAUGCUCUUCAUCCUCAUCCUCUCAGUCCUUCGCCCCCCCUUCCAAUCUCAUAAAUAAUUCAUGAACUGAUAAAUAUGCAAUUUCAAAAAGUGCAGACAAGGCAGCACUGCAUUAAAAAAAAAAAAAAAAAAAAA
Molecule: long non-coding RNA, 1419 nt
Filed under: Sus scrofa (pig)
Lineage: Eukaryota; Metazoa; Chordata; Mammalia; Artiodactyla; Suidae
Description: lncRNA (ENSSSCG00040006532.1)
Source: RNAcentral